AUUGAACGCCGGCGGCAGGCUUAACACAUGCAAGUCGAGCGGGGUGAUGGUGCUUGCACUAUCACUUAGCGGCGGACGGGUGAGUAAUGCUUAGGAAUCUGCCCAUUAGUGGGGGACAACAUCUCGAAAGGGAUGCUAAUACCGCAUACGUCCUACGGGAGAAAGCAGGGGAUCACUUGUGACCUUGCGCUAAUAGAUGAGCCUAAGUCGGAUUAGCUAGGUGGUGGGGUAAAGGCCUACCAAGGCGACGAUCUGUAGCGGGUCUGAGAGGAUGAUCCGCCACACUGGGACUGAGAAACGGCCCAGACUCCGACGGGAAGCAGCAGUGGGGAAUAUUGGACAAUGGGGGCAACCCUGAUCCAGCCAUGCCGCGUGCGGGAAGAAGGCCUUCGGGUUGUAAACCGCUUUUGGUCGGGAAGAAAAGGCACCGGAUAACACCUGGUGUUCUUGACGGUACUGACAGAAUAAGCACCGGCUAACUACGUGCCAGCAGCCGCGGUAA
RNAcentral lists this ribosomal RNA (502 nucleotides) under uncultured bacterium. Its description in RNAcentral is "partial 16S ribosomal RNA". It matches the Rfam family "Bacterial small subunit ribosomal RNA", at positions 30 to 523 of the family's 1533-position model. The record is from RNAcentral.